GGUCCGUUGGCCCAAUGGUAAGGCGUCUGACUACGAUUCCUUCAAAUCAUAUCAGGAGAUUCUGGGUUCGAUCCCCAGGCGGACCU
Transfer RNA from Sphaerulina musiva SO2202, 86 nucleotides. It matches the Rfam family "tRNA". Rfam says of the family: Transfer RNA (tRNA) molecules are approximately 80 nucleotides in length. NCBI's taxonomy places the organism in Eukaryota, Fungi, Ascomycota, Dothideomycetes, Mycosphaerellales, Mycosphaerellaceae. The record is from Rfam.